This 233-nucleotide unclassified non-coding RNA is filed under the name Hevea brasiliensis (rubber tree). Lineage: Eukaryota; Viridiplantae; Streptophyta; Magnoliopsida; Malpighiales; Euphorbiaceae. The record is from RNAcentral.
AAAUUUAUAGAGCAAAAUAUUAUUGCAUUACUUGUAUCAAUAUGAUGUUUUCCAAAUGAACCAAAAGAAAACAUGGUGUUCAUCACUGAAGAGUCUGUACAACAAGAUCGUCAAAACGCCAUUGCCUCGAUCUAAGUGUUGAUGCUUAUCUACCACAAACCGAUUCCAUGUCCAUCGAUAGAACUCUCCAAGCUACUCUUGGAAAGUUAACCAUCGAUGAUCAUGCAGACGCA